UCCGGUGUGGCGCAAUGGUAGCGCAAUCGGCUGUUAACCGAUGGGUCACAGGUUCGAGUCCUGUCACCGGAGCCA
This 75-nucleotide transfer RNA is filed under the name Nitrospinae bacterium RIFCSPLOWO2_12_FULL_47_7. RNAcentral's name for it is "tRNA-Asn". It matches the Rfam family "tRNA". Rfam says of the family: Transfer RNA (tRNA) molecules are approximately 80 nucleotides in length. Their secondary structure includes four short double-helical elements and three loops (D, anti-codon, and T loops). Lineage: Bacteria; Pseudomonadati; Nitrospinota. The record is from RNAcentral.